Oncorhynchus masou masou (cherry salmon) is the source of this 5081-nucleotide long non-coding RNA. RefSeq lists it as uncharacterized. The record is from RefSeq and is a predicted model, not a curated record. Lineage: Eukaryota; Metazoa; Chordata; Actinopteri; Salmoniformes; Salmonidae. The transcript is spliced from 2 exons.
AAACACAAGCACUAACCUCGAAAUCGCCUCGCCAUUCAUGGUGAAUAAAUUCGUCUGUGGUAAUUUAGCAAGCUGCUCAAUCGUUCAGUUUACAUCUUGUCUAGGCUACUGUAGACUAUCUGAAAUGAGAUGUAGGCCUAUCAUGGGAUAUAGGCUAACUGUCUUUAUCUAAGCAAACCAUGGCAAAGUUGAAUUACAAUCAUAAACACAGAUUUUAGUCUGUAGCCUAUGCCUAUUGCAAAGACAAGUCAAUCUUGCAAAUUGGCCAUUUAUAACGGUUUGUAGACUUAAUAUCGGGUACAUAAUAGCACAAUUGAUAGAAAAUAGCCUAACAUUAGUUUAAAAAAAAUCUUCAUCCAUGUAUUUCUUGCUCAGGGAUUUUGAGAUCCUCUGUCCAGCUUUCAUCACUCAAACUCUCCUGUCGGAUUUUUCUGUAGUUAAACACAUGCACAAAGGGGAUUUAUUUACAAUUAUAAACUGGGUGGUUCUUGCUGACUUUAUUGUCCCCAUGAGGACAAUUUGUUGAGUUGUCAUGUACACGUUUAAAUACAAAACAAAAUUGACAAUACAACUUUCAUAACAGUUAUAUACCAAUAAAAACAUUUUUUAAAGACUAGCCUGCUGACUUUACUGAGUUGAUAGGAACAUUAGCCUGAGCUAUUUAGGUGGGAUAUCACACCUGGCACAAAUUAUUGUCUAGUUCUGUUUGUCUCGUUCGAGCCCUGAAUGCUGAUUGGCUGAAAGCGAUUGUAUAUCAGACCAUAUACCAUGGGUAUGACAAUUUGUUUUUGUUUUACUGUUCUAAUUAUGCAGGUAACCAGUUUAUAAUAGCAAUAAGGCACUCAGGGGGGUUGUGGUAUAUGGCCAAUAUACAUACCACUGCUAACAAAUGUAUUGAGGCACUCCGUGUUGUGUCAUGAUUAAGCACAGCCCUUAGCCAUGGUACAUACCCCUUUGUGCCUUAUUGCUUAAUAAUAGCAGUCAAACGAGUUAAGUCGACAUCCAUUGAUGGAAAAUUAUCUGGCGAAUUUAAUAAGGGCAAAUUGUAUUUUCUCUUGAACAUGUUCAAAUUCCUAUAUUACAUUAUGUCAUAGCUCACAAAUAUUAUUUUGAGGAAAACCGAAUUUCGCUUCUCAUGUCGAUAACGUUAUGGAAAAAUGUUUUAUUGUAUACAUGUGGCAACUCCUGUCGUGCAAAAAAGGGUUCGUUUUCUUGUCUUUUGGGCGGGUUUUGAGUGGUCAUUUCGUCUGAAAUUUAGCUUGACCUGGCAACAUGACCUGAAAGAAUGUGCAGAAAAAUACGGAGAAACGCAACAUCGUAACUGCUGAAAUUGUAUUUGCUGUAAAUGUUGUGAUUAUUUCAAGCAUUUGAAAUCCACUCGUUGGCGUAUGGAAGUCAACGCGUCCCAAAUGUAGCAGAACAUGACGGCACAAAGUCAAAAUGUCAACAAAGGAAGGAAGAAGACAUCCCAACCUGGAGUAGCAGGUCUGAGCAACCUAUCAAAUGGGAGUCCUGCAAAUCAAAACACUCACAUUUCAUUUGUGCAGGAUUCAAGAAGGCCAGAUGAGUUUGACUUUGAGUGUGUGGUAAAUUCCAAAUUCAAAAACUCAAAAGUUUGGUUUUGUGAGAAAUGUCGCUUUUUGACCACAGAUUUUGAUGAUUACAGCAGCCAUAUUAUGGAGCAUGCGGUGAUGAGAUUUUACUGCUUCUAUUGUAACUAUGUCUCAUACAGCGAGGCCGAAUUAAACCACCAUGUAGAACAGCACACCAGAGUACACCCCUUCAAGUGUCAGUUCUGUGAUUAUAGAGCUGUGAAGAAAGACUAUGUUGAAAUGCAUAUGAAGCGAAUACACAAUGCCCCUCCUGAGAAAGUAUCCAUUGCUUUGCCCAGAGCUCCCAAACCGGCCUCUAUCCCCAGUGCUCUGCCCAGAGAUCCCACAUUAUCAGCGAUCUUAAAUACAAGGGUCGCACCUUUGCGCACUAAGAAUAUCACAACCAGAGUGGAUGAAGGAAGACCUAUGGAUGGGACACUGGAUGCAAACAUAUUGCCCAAAGUAGAGGUGGAGCUGUUGGCACCUUUAAAUGAACCAAUUCAACACAACAGGCCUUUGACUGUCUCUUUCCCUGAAGUGGGGACCAUCCCCCCUGGCUGCCUUGUUGAACUUGUUGAGGUGAAAACAGUCAAUGGCACCAAGGAACUAAAGUUGAGACUUGUCUCACAACAAUCUAAUGGGUCUGUAGCGAAAGCCUGUCGGACCACAACCUCACAAAAUGCCACUUUGUGUAAAUCAUCGAUGUCCAACGCCACUCCAACUAGAGAAAAGCCAGUGAAGAAGAGAACUUGCACAGCCAACAUAUCAGCCCGACAAAUAAAUAACCAGAAACAAAAGGAGUUAACAACUGCCCCCAACACAAAUGGCAUACAACUGAAAAAACACUCUGAAGAGUUGCUGGUGAUGGUGAAAGAUGUAAAUCAGCCAUUUGAGAUAAAGAAAGAGGAAGUGAAGGAAGAGAACUGUGAUUCUGUGCAAAAAUCUGAACGCUUGACUUCAUUUACAGCUGUCUCGAGUGUGUCCAUGAUGGGAAACGUCAAUGGCACCAAAUCGCCCUCUGUUGCACCUGCUGCAAUGUCGUCUCUUGUAUUGUGCAACCCUAGAAGUAGCACCCUGGUCAUUCCCUCUCCAACAAACCAACCUAAAGAGGAUGAGACUUGUCAUGUGGCUGACUCAAACACCUCUGGUUGGACUCAAUCUGAGAAUCCAUUAGUAGAUGACGUGCCAGGACCAAAAGGUUUCCCAGUCAUUUCAGCUGUAUUUUCUCUAAGUAGCCCUCAACUCUUGGCGGUGGCUCUUCGGACCAUAGCUUUGGGUAACAAUUCACCCUCUGCAACGGUAGAGCAAGGAAAUGUCAAGAAUUCUUUGAUCCUCACACCUGCUAAGACAACAGCAGUGUGCAAAGGGCAUGAACACAAGAUAAAGCCAGGAAACACUGACAUGGCCCCUGAGGGUUUGUCCUCUGUUCAUGCACCUCAAAUGACCUCAAAAGCCGGUCACCAGAUGCAGAGUGCUCAAUGUUCUAGACACACCCAAUCACUAACAAGUAAUCCCUUGAGCACCAAGGGGGGAAAUAACAGUGUUACAAUAAAGCUUCACAAGAAAACAGUUUUGAAUAUGAAAAAAAGUCCUCAAAAUGUGGCCAAAAAAACAGUAAACACACGGGACAGUUGGAUUGGCCAAAUUAACACUGAAAAAGGGUCAGUCCCCAGACACUGGAAAAGUUCAGCAAACAAGCGUGACAUUUCUGGUAGACUCUCUUCCUGCCUGAAGCUCUCAUUGAAAAGGAUGCGAGUAGAAGAGGAAAGUAGCCUUCAACGUUGUGCACCUGAGUUGAACCAACGAAGGAAGAAAAGAAGACGGCGAGACAUGGUAUCUGGGUCAAAGACUUUCACCCACCUGUUAGAUACCACAGGUGACAGGGUUAUUAUCUGCCCAACUCCACUGAAAGAAGACCAGCUGGUGAAGCAACCAGGCCCAAACCAACCUGUUGUGGUUCUCAAUCAUCCCAAGCCUCUGGUUCUGAGAGGGAGGGGGGGAAUGGAGAUGAUUCCAGACAUUGGUCCAACAUGUCACAUAAUGAAAAUGAAGUUGAGCAAAGUAAUGGGACAUACGUAUGAGGUGAUUGGAUGUACCGUUAAGGCCUCUCCUUAGGGUGAUGACAAAUUGUUAUGGAAAAUGAUAGAUUUAUUUGCUGGGAACAGAACACUAAACAUUGAGUUAUCAAGACAAGAGUCUGAUGCAUUGCGCCAUUAAGGGUUGGCUUGCACUCAUUUCCAGGGUCCCUAGAUGAGCUUCAGAUUAAUAAUGGUUAGACAUUUCAUACAAUAUGUUACUUCAUGGAUGAUGAAAGACUGAACCCCAUUGAGAGAAACAAGUGGGCAUUCAGGCAGGCAUAUUUAAAAAUAAUAAUAAUAAUAAACAAUUAGCAUUUUUGCUGAAGUAUCAUUGAUAGCACAGAUGUGUAAAUAUGAUUGUAUAUUUGAAUGAACUUGUACUUUUUUUCUGAUGGAUGAACAACUGCUUAAAUUAAAUCAAUGUUAAUUAUUUUGAAUGCAUUUUGAAUAUAAUAAUAUGUAACCUCCUGGUUACUUUUAGCCGGACUGCAUUGGGAGAAUAGAACACCAGCGAACGCAGUCAGCAACGUUACUAAUUUGUUGUUUUGAGUAUUUAAAUUGAUAACUCACUCUUUAAUUAAAUAAAUAGCUACACAAAAAUAGUGUGUAGAAUGAUAGCCAUGAGGACAGCAAGGGAUUUUUUUCUUCAACAGUCAUUGAAAGACCAGGCACAUCUCUCUGCCGUUGUCUCUGAAAAAGCAAUUGUAGCUAGAGCUGCCACCCAAUACCAGUGUUUUUACAUCAAAAUAUAAAUAGUUGUCAAACCUACUACAGAAUUCUGAAAAUGUUACCAUAUGGUGAAUAGAAUGUUCAUGCUAAACCUCUUUCCAUUGAUCACUAACUUUUUGUAUUGAAGUUCUGAAAAAAGUUUGGUUAUAUUAUCCAACCUCAUCAUUCCUGUUUUAUAUUUUGCAUUUAUUAGGGUUGACUGACUUGACAUUAACAUUUUAAGUUCCUAGUGGAGCAAAGUAACUCAGUGCUACUCUAUUGAACCCUUUUUUGGACUUUUUUAACCAUCAUUCCAGGUGGUUCCUGCCAUUUUAUCCCUUUUUCAUUCAUGUUUUCUUUGGACUUUUUGUCAUGGUUACUGCUGUAUAUUGCUAGAAGUGUUUGAACCGCUCCCUCAAUCAUCUGUUUUUCUGUUUUUUUUUUCUGUAAAAGUAUCAGAGAAAAUAUUGAGAUGUUUUAGGUUGGACCAUAACAAUAUAUUUAUCAAAUAUAGCUCUUGUUUAGAUGUGGUGCGGAUCUUUAAAUGUACAUGUAUUUUGGUUUCCUUUGAAAUUUCUCUCGUCUUUUAAAUGGGAGUUAUUUGCAUAAUAACAAUUAUAGUUGUUGUUCUCAUGUUGUCAGUGUUUUCUGUCCUCUAUGUAUUAUCUUAAUGUGCCAUUUUGAAUAAAGAUCUUUUUUCAUA